RNAcentral lists this long non-coding RNA (1835 nucleotides) under Musa acuminata (dwarf banana). Its description in RNAcentral is "long non-coding RNA (MACU_LNC006480)". The record is from RNAcentral. Lineage: Eukaryota; Viridiplantae; Streptophyta; Magnoliopsida; Zingiberales; Musaceae.
AAAAGAGCCACAUCAUACACAGCAGAACUACUAAAUGAAGUAAUAUGCUGCAGUUCACGUAUGUCUCAAAGCCACUAUGAUGUUGCAAGCGCUCAUCGGGUAACUUUUCCUAGUGUCUGUUCUUGCUGCACGAUAUCGCAUUCAUUAACCUUUGUUCAACUGAUUUCAAUUGCAAACAAGUAGCUUUUCUUUCUGGGAAAAAGAAAAGAAAAGAAAGGUAGACUACAUUUUCCUUGAAUUCAAGUAUCCUAAUAAAUAAACAAAUUUGAAAAAUUUUCCUACAUAUUAUAGUAUUCAGUUGGUAAUUCAGUCAAGUAUUCUUCUAUCAUGACUGUAUUACAUCAUAAAGUAUAUAUGAUGUGUAAUUGAUAAAUGUAUCUGCUUCUCAUCACAUUCGAACACUACCUCUAGUGUUCUUACAGUUUUUAAUAUGUCUUUAAUCUGCAAAGGCAAAUCAUAAGUGUAUACCUUGCAAAAACAAAAAAGCUGCUAGUGAGAAAGCUAAAUUUAGUUAAACUAAAGUUUAGCCUCCAAUACUCAUCCACAAAGUUCUCUUGAGCUUUGUUUAGGUAAAAAAUAAAGCAUCCACAGAAUUACUAGCAUUAAGAAAAUGAAAUAAAGAAAGGAAUCCAUUGUCAAUCAAAAGCUUGCAGGUCAGAAUGGAGGUUGCUAAGUUAAAAAACUGAAUAAACAGAGAUCUUGUUGAUGCUUCAAUGAUGCCAUUAAAGAGUGUUAAGUUGUCAAAAAUGAUACUGCACAAUGACUUAAUCAUCUUAGUGCAUCAUUAAUCAAAUAUAAUGAAUCCAAAAAAUUCAUGCAUAGUGAGUUUGACAUUAAAAAAUUAUGCUUACAAUUGUGGUUCUAAUAUAAAAGCUCUAUCCACUAUUUACUAUAGGGAAAAAAAAUGCACCAAUUAACUGACCUCCACAAAGUAAAGAACACCAAACGUAUAAGCACGGACUGUAUCAACACGUUUAAUUUGAGGAUGAUGCCUUAAUACAAGGUAAGUUAACUUCUGCAGCAUCUCCGGUGGAGCUGACUGACCGACCAAAGAGACUGCCCAUAGAGCCAAAAAAAAGAUACAGAAAAUAAGUUAGUCAAAGAUAAACAAUGUGUGAGAGGUGGUUGUAAAAGACAUGAAAAAUAGGAAGAAGAAAAUGUCAGGUCAAAAGACCAGAUGAUUACUCGGCCACCUAAAAGUUUUAAUCUAACGAUUAUACAACCAACAGCUGCACAACAUGUUCUGGAUCCUGCUUAUAGCAGUUAUAUUUCUCUUGGUAAUGCUAUUUAGUUUGGCUGAUCAUACUGCAGUACCUUAUUUUGCUUGACAUGGAUAAACAGAACCAGAUAAUUACUAAUUACAAAUUGAUAAAGAAAAUGCAAGGCUUCACCACUGUAGACAUGCUAGCUUGCAUGUUUUGACCAACAUUGCCGAUGACAUUUUUCUUUUUUUCUCUUCUUUUCAGCAGAUUAAUGAGCACAUCCAACCUUCAAAAAGUACUCUCUAGCGGUCAAGUAUUCCAGGUCUGAAUUUCAGAAGACCUCUGCUCUUCUUCUUGUAUCACCAGUUUGGUAGAUAGGUUUAUAGCAGAAGGUUAGACUAAGCUGCCAGAUAGAAUUUACCAGUUUUCUCCUUUUCUUUAAAAAAAGUAACAUUAUAAUGUUUAUCUUCCCUUUUCUGGAAAGGAAAGAUAUAUCUUAAAAAAAUGAGACAUUAUAAUGUUUAAAAAAGUGACAUUAUAAUGACCUGAUAUAUCUUUCCUUUUAUGGAUAAAAAAAGUGACAUUAUAAUGUGUUUUUGUGUUUUCUGCUAUGAUGGUGUCUUUUUCCUAUUC